CAGAUUGAACGCUGGCGGAAUGCUUUACACAUGCAAGUCGAACGGUAGAGGGGGCAACCCCUUGAGAGUGGCGAACGGGUGAGUAAUAUAUCGGAACGUGCCCAGUCGUGGGGGAUAACGUAGCGAAAGUUACGCUAAUACCGCAUACGAUCUAAGGAUGAAAGCGGGGGAUCGCAAGACCUCGCGCGACUGGAGCGGCCGAUAUCAGAUUAGGUAGUUGGUAGGGUAAAGGCCUACCAAGCCAACGAUCUGUAGCUGGUCUGAGAGGACGACCAGCCACACUGGAACUGAGACACGGUCCAGACUCCUACGGGAGGCAGCAGUGGGGAAUUUUGGACAAUGGGCGAAAGCCUGAUCCAGCCAUUCCGCGUGCAGGAUGAAGGCCCUCGGGUUGUAAACUGCUUUUGUACAGAACGAAAAGGUUUCUAUUAAUACUAGGAGCUCAUGACGGUACUGUAAGAAUAAGCACCGGCUAACUACGUGCCAGCAGCCGCGGUAAUACGUAGGGUGCAAGCGUUAAUCGGAAUUACUGGGCGUAAAGCGUGCGCAGGCGGUUAUAUAAGUCAGAUGUGAAAUCCCCGGGCUCAACCUGGGAACUGCAUUUGAGACUGUAUAGCUAGAGUACGGUAGAGGGGGAUGGAAUUCCGCGUGUAGCAGUGAAAUGCGUAGAUAUGCGGAGGAACACCGAUGGCGAAGGCA
RNAcentral lists this ribosomal RNA (699 nucleotides) under Pseudomonadota bacterium. RNAcentral describes it as "bacterial SSU rRNA". It matches the Rfam family "Bacterial small subunit ribosomal RNA", at positions 25 to 723 of the family's 1533-position model. Lineage: Bacteria; Pseudomonadati; Pseudomonadota. The record is from RNAcentral.